RNAcentral lists this ribosomal RNA (440 nucleotides) under uncultured bacterium. RNAcentral's name for it is "partial 16S ribosomal RNA". It matches the Rfam family "Bacterial small subunit ribosomal RNA", at positions 338 to 795 of the family's 1533-position model. The record is from RNAcentral.
CCUACGGGUGGCAGCAGUGGGGGAUAUUGCACAAUGGGGGGAACCCUGAUGCAGCGACGCCGCGUGGGUGAAGAAGCGCCUCGGCGCGUAAAGCCCUGUCAGCAGGGAAGAAAAUGACGGUACCUGAAGAAGAAGCCCCGGCUAACUACGUGCCAGCAGCCGCGGUAAUACGUAGGGGGCAAGCGUUAUCCGGAUUUACUGGGUGUAAAGGGAGCGCAGGCGGCACGGCAAGCCUGAUGUGAAAGCCCGCGGCCCAACCGCGGGACUGCAUUGGGAACUACCGGGCUGGAGUGCCGGAGAGGUAGGCGGAAUUCCUAGUGUAGCGGUGAAAUGCGUAGAUAUAUGGAAGAACACCAGUGGCGAAGGCGGCCGCCUGGCCUGUUACUGACGCUGAGGCACGAAAGCGUGGGGAGCAAAUAGGAUUAGAUACCCGGGUAGUC